This 71-nucleotide transfer RNA is filed under the name Loxodonta africana (African savanna elephant). It matches the Rfam family "tRNA". Rfam says of the family: Transfer RNA (tRNA) molecules are approximately 80 nucleotides in length. The record is from Rfam by way of RNAcentral. Lineage: Eukaryota; Metazoa; Chordata; Mammalia; Proboscidea; Elephantidae.
GCAUUGGUGAUUCAGUGGUAUAAUCCUUGCCUUGCAUGUGGGCGACUCAGGUUCAAUUCCUGACCAGUGCA